GUGUCAGCCGCCGCGGUAAUACGGGGGGGGCUAGCGUUGUUCGGAAUUACUGGGCGUAAAGGGCUCGUAGGCGGCCAACUAAGUCAGACGUGAAAUCCCUCGGCUUAACCGAGGAACUGCGUCUGAUACUGGAUGGCUGGAAUCUGGGAGAGGGAUGCGGAAUUCCAGGUGUAGCGGUGAAAUGCGUAGAUAUCUGGAGGAACACCGGUGGCGAAGGCGGCAUCCUGGACCGGCAUUGACGCUGAGGAGCGAAAGCCAGGGGAGCAAACGGGAUUAGAUACCCUUGUAGUCC
This 292-nucleotide ribosomal RNA is filed under the name uncultured bacterium. RNAcentral describes it as "partial 16S ribosomal RNA". It matches the Rfam family "Bacterial small subunit ribosomal RNA", at positions 505 to 796 of the family's 1533-position model. The record is from RNAcentral.